Molecule: long non-coding RNA, 3015 nt
Filed under: Gossypium raimondii (Peruvian cotton)
Lineage: Eukaryota; Viridiplantae; Streptophyta; Magnoliopsida; Malvales; Malvaceae
Description: long non-coding RNA (GRAI_LNC001188)
Source: RNAcentral
AAUGAAAUCCUCCAGGUUCCUUUCUUUUUGCUCUUUCUCUGUGUUUUAAUAAUUUUGUGAUCUUAAAGUUUAGAUUUUUACUAAAUUUGGAAGUUGGGUUUUAAGGAUGUAAUGAUGUAUUAUGAUGCUUAAUGAAAAUGGAGCCUUGUUUGGUUUCUGAGAAAGGAUGGAAAAAGGAAAAGUUUGGUUAGAAAACGGAUGGGAAAAUACAGUGAAUUUAGUCUUUACAGUUCAGAUUUUUACUACAUACAGAAGUUAGGUUAUAAGUAUGUAAUGAUUUAUUAUUAUGCUUUAUCUGAACUGAAUGAAAAUGACAGUUUGUUUGGUAUUUGAGAAAGGAAUGGAAAAUGAGAAAUUCGAGUUAAAAAAUGGAUGGGAAAAUAUAGAAAAUACAGGUAGUCCUUAAAGUUUAGAUUUUUAUUGAGUUUUGAAGUUGGGUUCUAUGGUUGUAAUGAUUAUUUUGAUUCUUUAUUUGAACCGAAUGGAAAUGGCACUCUAUGUGGUCACUGAUAAAGGGAUAGAAAAUGAUGGGAACAUACAAAAUAUUGCAAAACAUGGGAUGUUUUCUAGUUUUUCUAUUCGAUUAUUCUUUGAUUUUUAAUGGUUAUGCAUUUGUGAAUAGGUUUUUCGUAUGUGGAAGAACAUAGAGAAAUCAAGAAUCAUUGAAUUGAACUAUGAAAAGAUCAUAGGAUUGUUAUGUGAAGAAAGAAUGGUGGAAGAAGUGGUCGAGGCACUACAAGAAAUGGAGGGUUACGGUCUUCUGGAAAAUGAUUUACUGUAGUGCCUCAACCGCUUCUUCGACCUUCUUUGGAGAUUUACAACUUAAUAAUUCAUGCUUAUGCCAAGAAUGGAAAGUUCAAUGAUGCUUCGUUCUUUCUCAAUGAGACGAAGCUCAACUUUAGUUUGAUUGAAUUUUGCUUUUAUAGCUAAAGCAAUUUGAGAUAAUAAUCGAACUGGAUGAGCCUCAAUUAAAGUAAAAUAUAAACUCAGUUUUUAUACUCAAGUUUAGAUUCAAAUUGAAACAAUAGUAAUUAAAAAUAAAAAAAGAUCGAUUAAGCUCUUAAACUACUUGACUCAAAUACUCAAAUUCAGCUCUUUCACUAUGUCGAGCUUGAUUUGACGAUGGUCAAGAUGAAUUCAAGUUUUUUCAAGCUGAAGCCAAAUAGCUUUUGUAAUACAAGUGUUUCUUUUGCUCUCUCAUAUCUACUAAGGUUGGAGGUUAGUUUUUAGUGCUCUUAAAACCCGAAACUUAAGUGGUUUUGCUUGUUGUGUUUGUCACUUCUUGCUUCAAUGUCUUUAUCCCUUCAUGUAAUAACAUACAAAUGACAAAAUCAUAUCUGAUAUUGUAAAUGGAUUCAUGAUCACAACAAGACAGCUAAUACCUUUGUAUUUUCCAAAAGAGAAUUUAAUCGUUGAUUUUAGUAUAAAUUUAUGUUUGUUUGUUGGUUUGUAGGUGUAUUUUGAUUCAAUUGAAUGAUAAUGUUUAAUUUUGUGUCCUAGGUAAUCACUCCCCUUUUUCAUAUGUAUUAUAGAUAAUUUGUUUGUUGGUCUGUACAUGUAUUUGUGUUGCUAUUACGAGCAUUUUUUGUUUAUGCAUUUUGAAUUGGCUCAAGUUUUCUUAUACUUCUUUCUCAUGCUUAUUGAUUUGUAAUUUCAAUGAUUGUUUUUUGACCUAGUUUGAUUGAUUCUGGGGUGAAUCCCAACCAGCUUCAGUCUCAGGUUGCUUCUUGUACUAUCGCAUAUUGAUAGGGAAUUAUUGUCUAUAAAAUUAUCAAGCUUGCAAGAUUUUAAAAUUCGUUUUCUAACUAGAAAGUAGCCCUGAUAUUCUUGUGAAUUUGAACUGCUAGUCAUUGUCUGUCGGCUAAAACUCACUUCAUUUUUGGGCUACACACAGUGACCUUUUAAAGUUCUUUUUCUGUAUUAAAUCUAUGUAUAUCCAUUUGCAAGGUUUUAUGAAUUCUCUCUACUCCCAACCCUUUGCUCAGUUCAACAAACAGCCACUAAACUUUCAGGCUCAUCAGCAGGGACAUGACUUCUAAAACCAGAAACUUCAAUUUAAUGAUUAAGAAUAAGGAUGCAUAGGCUUUAACAGGUUAUAGUGUUUACAAUUAGCAACUUGGUUUACGCUGCCCUUGUGUGCCCAAAUAUAAUCCCAAUCUGAAGUGUAAAAUAUUUGUCGGUUUGAGGUCAGUUUUUGAGUUCUGUCCAUAUCCCCAUAAAAUGAUUCCUGAUGGUGGGAAUGGUUGUAAUUGAAGGGUAAUAUGUGGAAAUGGGGGCUAUAUGUGAACACAUUGGCUGAGAAAGAAAAAGGAUAACCCCAUAUACUUGCUUGAAGUUUUGCAUUGUUUUGGAGAAUGAUUAUUGAUUUAAGAGAGAGAACCAUUACAUGAUAAGGUUUUUCUCGAAAGGGUUUGAUGAUAAAAGACUCCAGGCCAUAAUGGCCAUUGAUUUUUCAGGUUAAACCCGUCUGUAAUAGACGCAGAAGCAUUUUAGAGGUGAAAAUAUUUUUAUAUAGUAUGCCAGGAAAAUCACCUGUCCCUUUCAGGUCAUCCUUGACAUGUAAUUGUACUCUUUAGUAUAGGUCGGAAAAAUGUUUGUAGUGGUUCAUAGUGCUUGUAGACAUUAAUGGUGGCAUUAAAAAAAAGGUUCGUCAUGGCUUUGAUGUGAGAAAUUGGGUUUGUUUAACAAUGGAGUUGCUCCCCAUAAUAUGUAGAAUGACAUCAAUGUUUUUAAUGCCAUUUGUUUGAACUGAUGACUGCUUCUGGUAUUGCAUUUCUUUUCCAUCUAGUUUUUGGGUUUUCCCUCAAGGACAGGAUGAACUCGAAAUGAGGCAGACAUUUCUUUAAUUCCAAGUUGAAGUCACUUGAGAUGAUGGAUAGUAUGGAUUCAGUUCAGAUAUUUAAUUUUUUAUUUUAUUUAAUCUGGAUAUGUUUGUAGUCGUAUAUGCUGAUAUUAUUAGUAUUUGAAUAUUUGAUAUCCAGGUCCACGGUAGAAUUUAUUUUUUGUGAAUAAUAG